AAGAUUUUAAGUUAAAAAAACUCUUUACCUUCAAAGUAUAAAUUAAAUAAUUAUUUAAAUCUUA
RNAcentral lists this transfer RNA (64 nucleotides) under Quadristernoseta cf. longigynium XFX-2019. Its description in RNAcentral is "tRNA-Trp". The record is from RNAcentral. Lineage: Eukaryota; Metazoa; Arthropoda; Arachnida; Mesostigmata; Diplogyniidae.